UCUGAGGAAAAAAGGAUACAUUUUUUGGGGGAGAUUGUUUAGUAAAACUACUAAUUUUACUAAACAAUCUCCCCAAAAAAAUGUAUCCUUUUUUCCUCAGACAAA
Non-coding RNA from Pelobates cultripes (western spadefoot toad), 105 nucleotides. Lineage: Eukaryota; Metazoa; Chordata; Amphibia; Anura; Pelobatidae. The record is from the annotation of a GenBank genome assembly.